GUCUUUGAACGCAAGUUGCGCCCGAAGCCGUCAGGCCGAGGGCACGUCUGCCUGGGCGUCACGCGCCGUUGCCUUCCCCGCGCGCCUCCUUCGGGAGCGUCGGGGAGGGCGGACGAUGGCCUCCCGUGCCUCACCCCGCGCGGUUGGCCCAAAUGCCGAGUCCUCGGCGACGAACGCCACGACAGUCGGUGGUUGUCAAACCUCGGUUGCCUGUUGUGCGCGUUCGUCGCGCUCCGAGCGGCUCGCGACGAUCGCUGCCCUGCAUCGGCGGAGCUUUCAACGCGACCCCAGGUCAGGCGGGGUUACCCGCUGAAUUUAAGCAUAUCAAUAAGCGGAGGAAAAGAAACUUACGAGGAUUCCCCUAGUAACGGCGAGCGAACCGGGAACAGCCC
Molecule: ribosomal RNA, 392 nt
Filed under: Eriobotrya prinoides
Lineage: Eukaryota; Viridiplantae; Streptophyta; Magnoliopsida; Rosales; Rosaceae
Description: eukaryotic LSU rRNA
Rfam family: Eukaryotic large subunit ribosomal RNA (bases 283-392)
Source: RNAcentral